UCCCUGGUGGCUCAGCUGUUAAAGAAUCUGCCUGCAAUGUCGGAGACCUGGGUUCAAUUCCUGGCUUGGGAA
Molecule: transfer RNA, 72 nt
Organism: Ovis aries (sheep)
Lineage: Eukaryota; Metazoa; Chordata; Mammalia; Artiodactyla; Bovidae
Rfam family: tRNA
About the family: Transfer RNA (tRNA) molecules are approximately 80 nucleotides in length. Their secondary structure includes four short double-helical elements and three loops (D, anti-codon, and T loops).
Source: Rfam